This 153-nucleotide small RNA is filed under the name Caldicellulosiruptor saccharolyticus. RNAcentral's name for it is "c-di-AMP sequence". It matches the Rfam family "c-di-AMP riboswitch aptamer (ydaO/yuaA leader)". From Rfam's summary of the family: This family represents a conserved RNA structure found upstream of the ydaO and yuaA genes in Bacillus subtilis and related genes in other bacteria. RNAcentral also lists the same sequence under 1 other name. Lineage: Bacteria; Bacillati; Bacillota; Caldicellulosiruptorales; Caldicellulosiruptoraceae. The record is from RNAcentral.
CCUUUUGAAAAGCUGAAUUCCCAGGGGUAAAGCCCUGGGAUACGGGGGACCCAACCUUUUUGGGGUGAAUCAGAAGCAAAAAAGCUUCUGUAGGGCUAACCCUUUCGGCCCGAACCCGUCAGCUAACCUCGGAAGCUUUGAAAGGGAGGCAAA